Long non-coding RNA from Mobula hypostoma (lesser devil ray), 626 nucleotides. RefSeq lists it as uncharacterized. NCBI's taxonomy places the organism in Eukaryota, Metazoa, Chordata, Chondrichthyes, Myliobatiformes, Myliobatidae. The record is from RefSeq and is a predicted model, not a curated record. The transcript is spliced from 3 exons.
AUGGAAUUUUGCAGUAUUACUAAGAGUGGCUUGCGUGGUCCAACAGUCCACAGCAGGGGGAUGGGAAACAAAGCACCAGCUCAAAAAGUGGAGGAACGCAGAAGGACGUAGAUGUCAGGGCCAAUUAAAACAGCUGUUUAAAACAUACUUCUACCAAGAUUGCAACGUGAAGAACAUUCUAAGUUCUGGCAUCACCUUCUGGUCUGGACAAGCCAUUGUACAAGAUCUGAAAAAGCUGCAGAGGGUUGCAAACUCAACCAGCUCCGCAAUGAGCACCAUCCACCCCAGCACUGAAGACGUCUCGAGAAGGUGGCUUCCAUUAUUAAGGGGUCCCGUCACCCAGGACGUGCUCUCUUCUUACUGCUAACAUCAAAAGAGGAAGAAGAUGCAAAAGCCUCAGACUCGUACCACCAGGUUCAGGAAUAGUUACUACCCCUCAGCCAUCAAGCUCUUGAAUCAAAGGGGAUAACUUCAUUCAGUUUCAUUUGCCCCAUCACUGAAAUAUUCCCACAACCAAUGGGCUCACUUUCAAGGACUCUUCAUCACAUGUACUUAAUAUUUAUUAGUUUUUUUUGUACAGUAUUUGCACAGUUCUUUAUCUUCUGCACUCUGGUUGAAUGCCCUAG